Molecule: long non-coding RNA, 1008 nt
Organism: Thalassophryne amazonica
Lineage: Eukaryota; Metazoa; Chordata; Actinopteri; Batrachoidiformes; Batrachoididae
Exons: 4
Source: RefSeq, a predicted model, not a curated record
CGCUGGUUUCUUCCUGUCAGCGUGGCUGCGAGCGAGCGAGCAGCCGGGAGAGGUGAGCAGAAGCCGGGGUCGAGAGAGGGACCGUGAGCGGCGACCAUCGAUGAAGGGCAGACUGAUAUCACACCGGUGACACUAAUACACCUGCACCAUCCCCUCGUGUGACCCUUGGUCAGGCUCAUAUAAAUAUGACUUAAAGAAUUGCCAUGCUUGACCUGAUAAUCAGAAGCGAUGAUGGAAACCGCACAAAACCUGGCUACAGCAACGAAGUCUUGAACAUGGACCACUCUACUUCCAUGUCACCGGCCAACCUUGGGCCUUGAGAGAGGUUUCUUUGGCAGUGCGACUUGAAGGUCUUCUCCAAAGAAGGGCACCCUCCAUCCUGCUUAUCAUUGUGGGAAGGUAAUUGUUUUGAUUUUUGAGGAAGAAAUGCAAACAGCAUGGUAUUUUAUGGUAAAUCUGUCUGGAGUAGAGAGGUCUCAAAAACUGAGUGACUGUGGGAGAAGAAGAUAUGAGUGGGAAACCACUUAGACACCUGUGACAACCCUGCAUCACCCGACACACUUUCACGGUGGAGUGGAACAAAGAAGGAUUUCCUGAAAAAGAAGACGAGAAAGUUUGCUAGAAGAAAGCUGGUAGGCUCCAGCGUACUUUUGAUCUUUUGACCCUGCCACAGGUCCAAGACUAAAUGUCACAUCAGACAAGACGGGACAAAAUAUAUUCAUCAACCACCAUUUUUUUUCAUCAUGAAAACCAAAUGAUGAUACCAAACAAUGAUUUCCCCAUUUUGGCAAUGCAAAUGUGCGCUGUUUAUUUUGCAUGUUCUUUCUACAUCUUAAUCGCUUGUCGUAGUUGUGAUGUAUUGGUACUUCAUCUUGUGUCACACCACACCACCAGGUGGCGCCCUCUUACCUACAAUAUGUAUUGUGCCGGAAGUAGAAUAAACCAGUGUGAAAGUACCCAGCUCAGAGUCCGGUCAUGUUUGUGUGAGCUCCAAUAUUUGGCAAGAUA